GCGCUUGUAGCUCAACGGAUAGAGCGCAAGAUUGCGGAUCUUGAGGUUGUGGGUUCGAUUCCCGCCAGGCGCG
This 73-nucleotide transfer RNA is filed under the name Candidatus Levyibacteriota bacterium. Its description in RNAcentral is "tRNA-Arg". It matches the Rfam family "tRNA". Rfam says of the family: Transfer RNA (tRNA) molecules are approximately 80 nucleotides in length. Lineage: Bacteria; Candidatus Levyibacteriota. The record is from RNAcentral.